UACAUGGAGUCCAAACGUUAUCCGGAUUUACUGGGCGUAAAGCGUGCGCAGGCGGUUUUGUAAGCCAGAUGUGAAAUCCCCGGGCUCAACCUGGGAACUGCAUUUGUGACUGCAUGGCUAGAGUGCGGCAGAGGGGGAUGGAAUUCCGCGUGUAGCAGUGAAAUGCGUAGAUAUGCGGAGGAACACCGAUGGCGAAGGCAAUCCCCUGGGCCUGUACUGACGCUCAUGCACGAAAGCGUGGGGAGCAAACAGG
Molecule: ribosomal RNA, 253 nt
Filed under: uncultured bacterium
Lineage: Bacteria
Description: partial 16S ribosomal RNA
Rfam family: Bacterial small subunit ribosomal RNA
Source: RNAcentral